GCGGCCAACUGGUCCUGACCUGACGCUGAGGCGCGAAAGCGUGGGGAGCGAACCGGAUUAGAUACCCGGGUAGUCCAGGCCGUACACGAUGUCGGCUCGGUGUGUGGUGAUGGAAACACCAUCGCUGCGUGCCUAAGCUCACGCGGUAAGCCGACCGCCUGGGGACUACGAGCGCAAGCUUAUAACUCAAAGGAAUUGACGGGGGCCCGCACAAGCAGCGGAGCGUGUGGUUUAAUUCGACGCAACGCGAAGAACCUUACCCAGGCUUGACAUGGUCCUGCAAGCGCACGGAAACGUGUGACCUUCGAGGGUGGACCACAGGUGCUGCAUGGCUGUCGUCAGCUCGUGUCGUGAGAUGCUGGGUUAAGUCCCGCAACGAGCGCAACCCUCGCUGCCAGUUACCAGUGUCUGGCGGGACAGCCGCCUUGAUGGGCGGAGGAAGGCGGGGAUGACGUCAAGUCCGCAUGGCCCUGACGCCUGGGGCGACACACACGCUACAAUGGCCGGCACAAUGCGCUGCAAGACCGUAAGGUGGAGCUAAUCGCCAAAGCCGGUCCCAGU
RNAcentral lists this ribosomal RNA (561 nucleotides) under uncultured Chloroflexota bacterium. RNAcentral describes it as "bacterial SSU rRNA". It matches the Rfam family "Bacterial small subunit ribosomal RNA", at positions 721 to 1292 of the family's 1533-position model. Lineage: Bacteria; Bacillati; Chloroflexota. The record is from RNAcentral.